Molecule: ribosomal RNA, 121 nt
Filed under: Microbacterium sp. B24
Lineage: Bacteria; Bacillati; Actinomycetota; Actinomycetes; Micrococcales; Microbacteriaceae
Source: RNAcentral
GUUUCGGCGGCCAUAGCGUGAGGGAAACGCCCGGUCACAUUCCGAACCCGGAAGCUAAGCCUCACAGCGCCGAUGGUACUGCAGGGGGGACCCUGUGGGAGAGUAGGACACCGCCGGACUU